Molecule: long non-coding RNA, 345 nt
Organism: Helianthus annuus (common sunflower)
Lineage: Eukaryota; Viridiplantae; Streptophyta; Magnoliopsida; Asterales; Asteraceae
Exons: 3
Source: RefSeq, a predicted model, not a curated record
CAUUUAUUCGAAAAAACUUUGAUUUGUUUCUUAAAAUAUUCAAAUGGGAUAACAGUUUUCUUUUACAUAAUCUAUGAGUUUAUAUUGAUGUUUUAUUAUGUUUUUGGUGAUUUAGUGUUUUUUUUUUUCAAAUUAUGAUUUUAUAUUACAUAUAAAGUAUACACACAGGUUAUUGGAUACAAAAAGACAGACACUUCAUACUUCAUCAAGCUUCAUGUAUAUGGAGGUGUAAAAGGGUGGGUACGAGAAAAGUUAUUCAUUUGGAGAUAGACAUUUAUUUGGCCUAUUGGCAAUAUAGAUGCAGAGGAAAUAUUUGAGGAGGUAUUGUUUGACAGGAUUGGACAG